This 543-nucleotide ribosomal RNA is filed under the name bacterium fme09x23p370. RNAcentral's name for it is "bacterial SSU rRNA". It matches the Rfam family "Bacterial small subunit ribosomal RNA", at positions 48 to 586 of the family's 1533-position model. The record is from RNAcentral.
GCUACACAUGCAGUCGAGCGGAACGAUGGUAGCUUGCUACCAGGCGUCGAGCGGCGGACGGGUGAGUAAUACUUAGGAAUCUACCUAGUAGUGGGGGAUAGCACGGGGAAACUCGUAUUAAUACCGCAUACGACCUACGGGAGAAAGGGGGCAGUUUACUGCUCUCGCUAUUAGAUGAGCCUAAGUCGGAUUAGCUAGAUGGUGGGGUAAAGGCCUACCAUGGCGACGAUCUGUAGCUGGUCUGAGAGGAUGAUCAGCCACACCGGGACUGAGACACGGCCCGGACUCCUACGGGAGGCAGCAGUGGGGAAUAUUGGACAAUGGGGGAAACCCUGAUCCAGCCAUGCCGCGUGUGUGAAGAAGGCCUUUUGGUUGUAAAGCACUUUAAGCAGUGAAGAAGACUCUUCGGUUAAUACCCGGAGACGAUGACAUUAGCUGCAGAAUAAGCACCGGCUAACUCUGUGCCAGCAGCCGCGGUAAUACAGAGGGUGCAAGCGUUAAUCGGAAUUACUGGGCGUAAAGCGAGCGUAGGUGGCUUGAUAA